CGGCAAGUUCAGGCAUGAUGAGCUUUUUCACAAUUCUGAGGCAGAAAAUUUAGAAAGCUGCUUUUAAAAUUUUUUUAGCAUAAAUUAAGGUUUAAUAUUACAUCCAAACAUAAAAAUUUACUUUGGAUUACAUGUAAAGUUAGUCCUGUAACCUUCCAGUGCUGAGAGCCAAGCAGGGACACUCAUGGGGCCGAGGGGGUGUCCCCAAGAGCACCCCACACAGGGCCCCCGGGAGGGGCUCACAGAAAGGCGGGCCAGACGGAGCGUGGUGAGAAUCAGAAGCCUGGUCCCUGGAGCAUUGGCCAGGCUGGGACGGAGAGAAGACUGGAGAUGCAUGAUGGGAAGCCAGUUACCGGCCUGUUGGUCGGUGGACACCUAUCUAGUAACCACUGUCUCCCAGGCACUGGGCUGCAUACAGGGGUACAGUAGUGAGCAACUCCUUUCCCUUGGGUGUUUACAUCCUGGGAUAGGAAAGGGGAAAGCCGAAAAAUACCACACGGACCACGCACAUCCACGCCCCGACAGACACACUGACGAUGGCGGGUUGGCAGCGUGCCCCAAGAACGGAUUCACGUAAGAGUCAGAAACAGAAAUGUGCAGAGGAAAUGUCUGGGGAGCCAUUUGGGUCCGGCUCACCGGGAGAGAAGGAUGCUGUGCUGUGGGGCUGGUGGCCUCUGCAGUCACCACUAUCCUCACUGUCAGUCAGUGUGUACAGGAGAGCUUGUGGCAGUGGCGGUGGGGUGCUGCCUUUCCCCCUGCAAGCAUGCGCUUUACCUGCUGAGACUCCGGGUGCGGCAUGGCCAGGAGCAAGGCCCAUGGCAGCCAGCAUGCAGAGCGGCGAUCUCUGCUUGCGGAUGCUGGCUUGCUCAGAGACUCUGUUGCAUCGUGGCUUCAUGUGGUACAAGACACAUGGUGGCCUCAAGGGACACAGUUCUGCUGCAAGUGUUGCUUCAAACGCUACUCUACCUGAAAGGGGUCGCGCGUGCCCCUUUGGGCGCCCCCUCCCAAUCAGGUCACUCAAGCACCGAGAGGAGUCCCUUAUCAGAUGUUGGCGUCAUUUCUGGGAAGAAUUCAACUCGGGGAGGAAAACAAAACUUAAGUUGGGAAAACGAAACAUAAGUUAGGAAGAACCCGGAAGUCAGGUAACUUCAUCUCAAGUUCCAAAACCCACCAUGACAGAGUAAGGGUAGCUGUGCCGUUACCAGAAUGGUUGAAAUCUGGAGUUAAAAAGUACCUCAGUCCCGUGGUUGGUCUGCCUGCCUUCCAAGGAAUUCACUCACCUUCAUCAUUUUCUUCAAAUAACCAUUGUUACAUUCCUUUUAAAAAUAAACAACUUUAGGCUUCCAAGACUCUCUGGUAGAUGAGAGAGAGAUUGAGCCGUCAGUUGUAGGCUGAAGACUUCAAAUCCGCAAACAGAAAAUUGAAAGAGAGAGGGCAUAUGUACUCAUGCUCUUUGCUAGACCUGGUAUGAUAAUGCGCACUGAACAAACAUCAAAAUUACACAUGUGCCAGUGGCUCCUAUACUCCUUUUCCUGCUUCUUCAAACUAAAAUUAAAAAUUCUACAUCUGAACUAGCCCAGAAAUCUAGCAAUCUUCAAUCACUAGCUAGACAUAUGGGCCCAUCUCAU
This 1628-nucleotide long non-coding RNA is filed under the name Fukomys damarensis (Damara mole-rat). RNAcentral's name for it is "lncRNA (ENSFDAG00000031799.1)". The record is from RNAcentral. Lineage: Eukaryota; Metazoa; Chordata; Mammalia; Rodentia; Bathyergidae.